This 74-nucleotide transfer RNA is filed under the name Candidatus Beckwithbacteria bacterium RBG_13_35_6. RNAcentral describes it as "tRNA-Gly". It matches the Rfam family "tRNA". Rfam says of the family: Transfer RNA (tRNA) molecules are approximately 80 nucleotides in length. Their secondary structure includes four short double-helical elements and three loops (D, anti-codon, and T loops). The record is from RNAcentral. Lineage: Bacteria; Candidatus Beckwithiibacteriota.
GCGGGAUUAGUACAGCGGUAGUAUGCCACCCUUCCAAGGUGGAGACGCCAGUUCGACUCUGGUAUCCCGCUCUA